Molecule: ribosomal RNA, 496 nt
Filed under: uncultured bacterium
Lineage: Bacteria
Description: partial 16S ribosomal RNA
Rfam family: Bacterial small subunit ribosomal RNA
Source: RNAcentral
GAUGAACGCUGGCGGCGUGCCUAAUACAUGCAAGUCGAGCGAACAGACGAGGAGCUUGCUCCUCUGACGUUAGCGGCGGACGGGUGAGUAACACGUGGAUAACCUACCUAUAAGACUGGGAUAACUUCGGGAAACCGGAGCUAAUACCGGAUAAUAUAUUGAACCGCAUGGUUCAAUAGUGAAAGACGGUUUUGCUGUCACUUAUAGAUGGAUCCGCGCCGCAUUAGCUAGUUGGUAAGGUAACGGCUUACCAAGGCAACGAUGCGUAGCCGACCUGAGAGGGUGAUCGGCCACACUGGAACUGAGACACGGUCCAGACUCCGACGGGAGGCAGCAGUAGGGAAUCUUCCGCAAGGGGCGAAAGCUUGACGGAGCAACGCCGCGUGAGUGAGGAAGGUCUUCGGAUCGUAAAACUCUGUUAUUAGGGAAGAACAAAUGUGUAAGUAACAAUGCACGUCUGGACGGUACCUAAUCAGAAAGCCACGGCUAACUACGU